This 479-nucleotide long non-coding RNA is filed under the name Marmota monax (woodchuck). Lineage: Eukaryota; Metazoa; Chordata; Mammalia; Rodentia; Sciuridae. The record is from RNAcentral.
GUGGGUGCUGAGUAUCAAUCCCGGGGCCUCACAUGUCAUAGGCGAGUGCUCUACUGAUGAGGCACAACCCCAUCAUGCAACUUAUUUUUAAAAUGAGCAUGUUUCUUUCUCUUUCCCUGCUCCACCAUAAUUCCUCCUCCUCCCUAAUCUUAGGGGAAACAUGAUUACCUUUCUUCCACAUUCUAGGCAGAUUUUUCUAUCCCUGAGUGCACACCCACCAUAGGAAGGAAGGAUUUCAGAUUUUGGGGAUGGCACCAGAGAUUUACUAAAUCCUCACUUGAUCUGAAUAAACAGAACAGUUUAAGACCAAGAGAGAAGGUCUAACUGCAAUAAUAAAAACAGUUAUAUUACUGGUUUGUCAUAUCCCAGAACCAGGGAAGAUGGACACCUCAGAUCACACAGAGGAAUUUCAAGACUUAAGCCAGAUAAUACACCCAUAAUCCUUUGGAUGAAAAGGAGGUGUGUCACAUUGAGUGUAA